RNAcentral lists this ribosomal RNA (253 nucleotides) under uncultured bacterium. Its description in RNAcentral is "partial 16S ribosomal RNA". It matches the Rfam family "Bacterial small subunit ribosomal RNA", at positions 524 to 776 of the family's 1533-position model. The record is from RNAcentral.
UACAGAGGUGGCAAGCGUUGUUCGGAAUGACUGGGCGUAAAGGGCGCGUAGGCGGAUGGCACAGUCAGAUGUGAAAUUCCCGGGCUUAACCUGGGGGCUGCAUUUGAUACGUGUUGUCUGGAGUGAGGAAGAGGGUCGUGGAAUUCCCAGUGUAGAGGUGAAAUUCGUAGAUAUUGGGAAGAACACCGGUGGCGAAGGCGGCGACCUGGUCCUUGACUGACGCUGAGGCGCGAAAGCGUGGGGAGCAAACAGG